CAAUUUCUAGUGGGUCGUAUU
Molecule: microRNA, 21 nt
Filed under: Arabidopsis thaliana (thale cress)
Lineage: Eukaryota; Viridiplantae; Streptophyta; Magnoliopsida; Brassicales; Brassicaceae
Description: ath-miR841b-3p
Gene: ath-miR841b-3p
Source: miRBase by way of RNAcentral